CAGACUGUUCAGGUGAUAAGCAUAAGCAGGAAUCAGCCCUCCCCGAGGACUGGUGUCCAGACUGAGAUGUCCGUGUGCCCUCCGCUGCUUUGUCAAUGUUGGCACCACGUGGCUUUGGGGUGCAGGGCUGGACACCCCCACAGCCACCCUCCACUCCUGUUUCGGGGCUCUGGGGCUGCAGGCCGGCCGUUUGACAAAGCCAGAGCCCCUGGCCGCAGCCCGCAGUUCUCUCCAAGUACAGUUUCGGGGAGUUUUUCACAAUGAUUCAUCUCAUGCAGUUGAUUGUUUUAAAGACACGAGCCGUCGCCGGAGAUUCCCUCUGAUUCUUAACCUCAGUCUUGCCUGAGGCGAUUUGACAAUUCAGAGCACCGCUCACUGGGAGCCCCGGGAGAGCAUGGGGAACAUGUGUGCGCCACGUUCCCCUCUGCAGCCGUGGUCCCUGACCUUUAGGGGAAGGUCUUCAAAGUGUUCCCACAACCAGCCCGGCAACCCUGCUGGUGCAGCCACCUCGGGUCUGAGAUCCGGGGCCGGAGUAACCACGCAGGAUGGGAAAGGGCGUGGGACAGCGUCUGGGGCAGCUUCUCUGCUAAUUAGCAAGACGAGCCCGUGAGACCGCCUGACAGAUACACGCUUGACGUUUUUGAAUAAAA
RNAcentral lists this long non-coding RNA (650 nucleotides) under Ursus maritimus (polar bear). RNAcentral describes it as "lncRNA (ENSUMAG00000023666.1)". Lineage: Eukaryota; Metazoa; Chordata; Mammalia; Carnivora; Ursidae. The record is from RNAcentral.